UUUCCCUCUCUUUCACUUUCUUUCUUUUUUUUUUCUCUCAUAAAAAAAAGAUAUAACAAAAGAAGGAGGCUCUUUCCCAAACGGUUUUUCUCCCUCGCUGCCGGACUUCUCUUCUCAGCCAACUCUGGCCGCCUCCUCCCUCGCCGUCGGAAUUCCGUUUCCUCACCGCCAGACUGUUCUUCCGCUCUCAGCUCCGCACCCCUCUGUUCUGCAAUCCCUCAGCCUCGCGCCCCUCUGUUCUGCAAUCUCUCAGCCCUACACCCCUCUAUUCUGCAAUUAAUUCUGCAGCGCCCUCCGUUCUUCCGCUCUCAGCUCUACUUUCGUGCGUCUGCAACCUCCCUUUGUCGCUUCCUACUUCCUCCCAGUCGGUACACUCAGCACCAGUCAACCUCGAUUCUUCCUCUUCAUAUACUGCAAGCAUCUUCAAGAGGUACUGUUAUAAUCUCCUUUAUUUUUCUGUUGAAUCUUGAAUUUGGAGUUGUUGUUGUAACUAGGAUAUAG
Vicia faba (fava bean) is the source of this 501-nucleotide non-coding RNA. The record is from the annotation of a GenBank genome assembly. Lineage: Eukaryota; Viridiplantae; Streptophyta; Magnoliopsida; Fabales; Fabaceae.